CUAGCGACUUCAGAGUUUGAUCCUGGCUCAGGAUGAACGCUGGCGGCAUGCCUAAUACAUGCAAGUCGAACGAAAGGCUUCGGCCUUUAGUGGCGAACGGGUGAGUAACACGUAGAUAACCUGCCCUCAAGACUGGGAUAACCGAUGGAAACGUCCGCUAAUACCGGAUAGGUAAUAGGAAGGCAUCUUCUUAUUAUUAAAGAUGGGACACAUCGCUUGAGGAUGGAUCUGCGCUGCAUUAGCUAGUUGGUGGGGUAACGGCCCACCAAGGCGAUGAUGCAUAGCCGGCCUGAGAGGGUGAACGGCCACAUUGGGACUGAGACACGGCCCAA
Molecule: ribosomal RNA, 332 nt
Filed under: uncultured bacterium
Lineage: Bacteria
Description: bacterial SSU rRNA
Rfam family: Bacterial small subunit ribosomal RNA
Source: RNAcentral